UAGGGAAUCUUCGGCAAUGGGGGGAACCCUGACCGAGCAACGCCGCGUGAGUGAAGAAGGUUUUCGGAUCGUAAAGCUCUGUUGUUAAGGAAGAACGUGUGUGAGAGUGGAAAGUUCACACAGUGACGGUACUUAACCAGAAAGGGACGGCUAACUACGUGUCAGCAGCCGCGGUAAUACGUAGGUCCCGAGCGUUGUCCGGAUUUAUUGGGCGUAAAGCGAGCGCAGGCGGUUAGAUAAGUCUGAAGUGAAAGGCAGUGGCUCAACCAUUGUAGGCUUUGGAAACUGUUUAACUUGAGUGCAGAAGGGGAGAGUGGAAUUCCAUGUGUAGCGGUGAAAUGCGUAGAUAUAUGGAGGAACACCGGUGGCGAAAGCGGCUCUCUGGUCUGUAACUGACGCUGAGGCUCGAAAGCGUGGGGAGCGAACAGGAUUAGAUACCCUGGUAGUCCACGCCGUAAACGAUGAGUGCUAGGUGCUAGGUCCUUUCCGGGACUUAGUGCCGCAGCUAACGCAUUAAGCACUCCGCCUGGGGAGUACGACCGCAAGGUUG
Molecule: ribosomal RNA, 550 nt
Filed under: uncultured bacterium
Lineage: Bacteria
Description: bacterial SSU rRNA
Rfam family: Bacterial small subunit ribosomal RNA
Source: RNAcentral